UACGAAUGGGGCAAGCGUUGUUCGGAAUCACUGGGCUUAAAGCGUGCGCAGGCGGUUAUGAAAGUCAGAAGUGAAAUCCCCGGGCUCAACCCGGGAAUUGCUUUUGAAACUCCAUAACUAGAAUCCCGGAGAGGUUAGCAGAAUUCCGAGUGUAGAGGUGAAAUUCGCAGAUAUUCGGAGGAAUACCAGUGGCGAAGGCGGCUAACUGGACGGGCAUUGACGCUCAGGCACGAAAGCGUGGGUAGCAAACAGG
RNAcentral lists this ribosomal RNA (253 nucleotides) under uncultured bacterium. Its description in RNAcentral is "partial 16S ribosomal RNA". It matches the Rfam family "Bacterial small subunit ribosomal RNA", at positions 524 to 776 of the family's 1533-position model. The record is from RNAcentral.